CGUGUAGGCGGCACGGUACGGUCUGGGUGAAAUCCCUCGGCUCAACCGAGGAAUUGCCCGGGCAACGGCCGCGCUAGACAGCAUCAGGGGAAGGUGGAACUCCCGGUGGAGCGGUGAAAUGCGUAGAUAUCGGGAGGAACGCCGGUGGCGAAAGCGACCUUCUGGGGUGCUUGUGACGCUGAGGCGCGAAAGCUAGGGGAGCGAACG
RNAcentral lists this ribosomal RNA (207 nucleotides) under uncultured bacterium. RNAcentral's name for it is "partial 16S ribosomal RNA". It matches the Rfam family "Bacterial small subunit ribosomal RNA", at positions 568 to 774 of the family's 1533-position model. The record is from RNAcentral.